GAAAUGCGAUAAGUAAUGUGAAUUGCAGAAUUCAGUGAAUCAUCGAAUCUUUGAACGCACAUUGCGCCCGCCAGUAUUCUGGCGGGCAUGCCUGUUCGAGCGUCAUUUCAACCAUCAAGCCCCCGGCUUGUGUUGGGGACCUGCGGCUGCCCGCAGGCCCUGAAAAUCAGUGGCGGGCUCGCUGUCACACCGAGCGUAGUAGCAUACAUUCUCGCUCAGGGCGUGCUGCGGGUUCCGGCCGUUAAACGACCUUCAUAACCCAAGGUUGACCUCGGAUCAGGUAGGAAGACCCGCUGAACUUAAGC
Molecule: unclassified non-coding RNA, 305 nt
Filed under: plant metagenome
Description: partial contains 5.8S ribosomal RNA, internal transcribed spacer 2, and large subunit ribosomal RNA
Rfam family: 5.8S ribosomal RNA (bases 1-105)
Source: RNAcentral